RNAcentral lists this ribosomal RNA (562 nucleotides) under uncultured eukaryote. RNAcentral describes it as "partial 18S ribosomal RNA". It matches the Rfam family "Eukaryotic small subunit ribosomal RNA", at positions 585 to 1204 of the family's 1831-position model. The record is from RNAcentral.
CCACCUUCAAGAGUGUAUAUUAAAGUUGUAGCAGUUGAAAGGUUCGUAGUUGGAAGUCGGGACGGUGGAUGCAGAGCAGGGAGACCUGGAUCUGGGUUUGGGGCCCUUCGCCGGUCGAGGGAUAAUACCCGACCCCCCCCGUUACUGUGAGGAAAUUAGAGUGUUCAAGGCAGGCGUGUGCUUGGAUAGGUUAGCAUGGAAUAACGGGAUGGUCCGUUGGUUGGAGCGUAGGUUGAUAGGGACAGUUGGGGGCAUUGGUAUUUGGCAGUCAGAGGUGAAAUUCUAGGAUUUGCUGAAGACGGACGGGGGCGAAAGCAUUUGCCAAGGAUGUUUUCAUUGAUCAAGAACGAAAGUUGGGGGAUCGAAGACGAUUAGAUACCGUCGUAGUCUCGACAGUAAACGAUGCCGGCGGGGCGUGGGGGGGCCGAAGGCGGAUCUUCCGCGCCCUGGAGAAAUCAGAGCGUGUGGGUUCUGGGGGGAGUAUGGUCGCAAGGCAGAAACUUGAAGGAAUUGACGGAAGGGCACCACCAGGAGUGGAGCCUGCGGCUUAAUUCGACUCAAC